UACAGAGGUCCCAAGCGUUGUUCGGAUUCACUGGGCGUAAAGGGUGCGUAGGUGGUGGAGUAAGUCGGAUGUGAAAUCUCGGAGCUCAACUCCGAAACGGCAUUGGAAACUACUCCGCUAGAGGGUCGGAGGGGGGACUGGAAUUCUCGGUGUAGCAGUGAAAUGCGUAGAUAUCGAGAGGAACACCAGUGGCGAAGGCGAGUCCCUGGACGACUCCUGACACUGAGGCACGAAAGCUAGGGGAG
RNAcentral lists this ribosomal RNA (245 nucleotides) under uncultured bacterium. RNAcentral describes it as "partial 16S ribosomal RNA". It matches the Rfam family "Bacterial small subunit ribosomal RNA", at positions 524 to 768 of the family's 1533-position model. The record is from RNAcentral.